CGAAAGCCUGACGGAGCAAUACCGCGUGAGGGAAGAAGGCUCUUGGGUUGUAAACCUCUUUUCUUAGGGAAGAAAAAAUGACGGUACCUAAGGAAUAAGCAUCGGCUAACUCCGUGCCAGCAGCCGCGGUAAUACGGAGGAUGCAAGCGUUAUCCGGAAUGAUUGGGCGUAAAGCGUCCGCAGGUGGUUUAUCAAGUUUGCGGUUAAAGGUUCUGGCUCAACCAGAGACAGGCCGUGAAAACUGAUAGACUAGAGUAUGGUAGGGGCAGAGGGAAUUCCCAGUGUAGCGGUGAAAUGCGUAGAGAUUGGGAAGAACACCGGUGGCGAAAGCGCUCUGCUAGGCCAAAACUGACACUGAGGGACGAAAGCU
Molecule: ribosomal RNA, 370 nt
Filed under: uncultured cyanobacterium
Lineage: Bacteria; Bacillati; Cyanobacteriota
Description: bacterial SSU rRNA
Rfam family: Bacterial small subunit ribosomal RNA
Source: RNAcentral